RNAcentral lists this ribosomal RNA (254 nucleotides) under uncultured bacterium. RNAcentral's name for it is "partial 16S ribosomal RNA". It matches the Rfam family "Bacterial small subunit ribosomal RNA", at positions 524 to 776 of the family's 1533-position model. The record is from RNAcentral.
UACGAAGGGGGCUAGCGUUGCUCGGAAUCACUAGGCGUAAAGCGCACGUAGGCGGAUUCCUAAGUCGGUGGUGAAAUCCUGGAGCUCAACUCCAGAACUGCCUCCGAUACUGAGAGUCUUCGAGUCCGGGAGAGGUGAGUGGAACUGCGAGUGUAGAGGUGAAAUUCGUAGAUAUUCGCAAGAACACCAGUGGCGAAGGCGGCUCACUGGCCCGGUACUGACGCUGAGGUGCGAAAGCGUGGGGAGCAAACAGG